Molecule: ribosomal RNA, 592 nt
Filed under: uncultured bacterium
Lineage: Bacteria
Description: bacterial SSU rRNA
Rfam family: Bacterial small subunit ribosomal RNA
Source: RNAcentral
CCUACGGGAGGCAGCAGUGGGGAAUUUUCCGCAAUGGGCGAAAGCCUGACGGAGCAACGCCGCGUGGGUGAUGAAGUAUUUCGGUACGUAAAACCCUUUCAGCAGGGACGAACACAAUGACGGUACCUGCAGAAGAAGCAUCGGCUAACUACGUGCCAGCAGCCGCGGUAAUACGUAGGAUGCAAGCGUUGUCCGGAUUUAUUGGGCGUAAAGCGAACGUAGGCGGUUUCUUAAGUUUGGUCUUAAAGACUGGGGCUCAACCCCAGGAAUGGACUGAAUACUGGGAGACUAGAGGAUGUUAGAGGAAAGUGGAAUUCCAAGUGUAGCGGUGAAAUGCGUAGAUAUUUGGAGGAACACCAGUGGCGAAAGCGGCUUUCUGGGACAUUUCUGACGCUGAGGUUCGAAAGCUCGGGGAGCAAACAGGAUUAGAUACCCUGGUAGUCCGAGCCGUAAACGAUGGACACUAGGUGUCGGGGGUAUCGACCCCCCGGUGCCGUAGCUAACGCGUUAAGUGUCCCGCCUGGGAGUACGGUCGCAGACUGAACUUAAAUGAAUUGACGGCUGGGAGAGCGACGACGACACGACGGAGGAG